Molecule: ribosomal RNA, 497 nt
Filed under: uncultured bacterium
Lineage: Bacteria
Description: partial 16S ribosomal RNA
Rfam family: Bacterial small subunit ribosomal RNA
Source: RNAcentral
GAUGAACGCUGGCGGCGUGCCUAAUACAUGCAAGUCGAGCGAACAGAUGAGGAGCUUGCUCCUCUGACGUUAGCGGCGGACGGGUGAGUAACACGUGGAUAACCUACCUAUAAGACUGGGAUAACUUCGGGAAACCGGAGCUAAUACCGGAUAAUAUAUUGAACCGCAUGGUUCAAUAGUGAAAGACGGUUUUGCUGUCACUUAUAGAUGGAUCCGCGCCGCAUUAGCUAGUUGGUAAGGUAACGGCUUACCAAGGCAACGAUGCGUAGCCGACCUGAGAGGGGGGUCGGGCACAACGGAAACUGGGAACGGGCCCAAAUCCUAAGGGAGGCAAGAGGAGGGAAAUUUCCGGAAUUGGGGAAAGGCUGAAGGAGCAAAGGCGGGUGAAGGAAUAAGGGUCUCGGAACGGAAAAACUUGGUAAUAAGGAAGAAAAAAAGGGGAAGGUAACAGGCAAGUCUUGAAGGGACCUAAUCAGAAAGGCAAGGCUAACUACGUG